UGAAUUUGGGUUUUGAAGAUUGAAGAAUAGGUGGCAAUAUUCAGAAGCCAGGAUUUUUUUUUUCUCAAUUGUUUAGCUUGUCCAAGAAUGUUCUGACCUCGUAAAAGUAGAUAUGAUAUGUUUUCAGCUUAUGUUUUAACUAUGACUGCCGUGAGUGUUGGACUAACUUUAAUUUACUAUCUUAGCUCGUUUACAAAACUUAAUUUAUUUGGAUUGUUUAAUGAUUACAGCAGUCUUUUGUUAAGUAUGUCGAAUCUGAAAAGGUCCCCAAGGAAUUUAAAUCAUUCCUUUACUGUUCUCCUUGAGGCUUGGAAGAAAAAUUUGCUCCAUGGCUUUUUAUUUAGUCUGUAUUAAGUUAUUUGAUUUUUCAUUUUUCCCAUCAAUUUCCUAUGCCUAUCAGAGCAUCAUAAUUUUACUGUUGUUAAUUCUUUUUUUAUCAUGUAAAGGAUUUCAACCAAUUUUUACAAGACAAUUAUAAAUGUGAUAUAAAAUUUUGCCCCAAAGUCAAACCUAUGGAAAAAACAUUAAUUUUUCUUGGAUUAAAGUUGGAACACUACCUUGCUUUUGACCCAGCCUAUUUCAGAUAUUGUUUUCUUGUUUUGGAUGAAGACUUUCUUAAAUGCAAUUAAAGAAGUUGAAUUUUAUGUAAACCUAAAUUGAUUAUACUCUCAUCUGCUUGUGGUCAAGAAGUUUUCAACCCCAUGCUAUUAGCACAAUGGUCAUUGAAAAUAUAUUUAUAAUUUUCUUGAUGAAUAGAGUAUUUUUAAAAAUCUAGCAAAGUUUGCAAGUACUUUACAAAUCACUGUGACAAGAUUUUGCUGUACUCUUCCCUUUUACAUACUCAAAUUUCAGGAGAUUCGUUAUUUUUCCUACUUUACUCGCAACUUUAUCUCAU
This 895-nucleotide long non-coding RNA is filed under the name Phoenix dactylifera (date palm). Its description in RNAcentral is "long non-coding RNA (PDAC_LNC017242)". The record is from RNAcentral. Lineage: Eukaryota; Viridiplantae; Streptophyta; Magnoliopsida; Arecales; Arecaceae.